This 253-nucleotide ribosomal RNA is filed under the name uncultured bacterium. Its description in RNAcentral is "partial 16S ribosomal RNA". It matches the Rfam family "Bacterial small subunit ribosomal RNA", at positions 524 to 776 of the family's 1533-position model. The record is from RNAcentral.
UACAGAGGUCUCAAGCGUUGUUCGGAAUCACUGGGCGUAAAGGGUGCGUAGGCCGCACGGUAAGUCAGAGGUGAAAUCCCGGAGCUCAACUCCGGAAAUGCCUCCGAUACUGCCGUGCUUGAGGACUGGAGAGGAGUCUGGAAUUCACAGUGGAGCAGUGAAAUGCGUAGAUAUUGUGAGGAACACUAGUGGCGAAGGCGGCGCUCUGGGCCGGUACUGACACUGAGGAGCGAAAGCGUGGGUAGCAAACAGG